This 501-nucleotide ribosomal RNA is filed under the name uncultured Oscillospiraceae bacterium. Its description in RNAcentral is "bacterial SSU rRNA". It matches the Rfam family "Bacterial small subunit ribosomal RNA", at positions 1 to 507 of the family's 1533-position model. The record is from RNAcentral. Lineage: Bacteria; Bacillati; Bacillota; Clostridia; Eubacteriales; Oscillospiraceae.
AGUAGUUGACUCCGUGGCUCAGGACACGCUGGCGGCGCGCCUAACACAUGCAAGUCGAACGGGACUAUGCGAGAUGAAGUUUUCGGAUGGAAUUUUGUAUAGUUUAGUGGCGGACGGGUGAGUAACACGUGAGCAACCUGCCUUCGAGAGGGGAAUAACGGCUGGAAACGGUCGCUAAUACCGCAUAACAUACGGGAGGGACAUCCCUUUUGUAUCAAAGAUUUAUCGCUCGAAGAUGGGCUCGCGUCCGAUUAGGUAGUUGGUGAGGUAACGGCCCACCAAGCCGACGAUCGGUAGCCGGACUGAGAGGUUGAACGGCCACAUUGGGACUGAGACACGGCCCAGACUCCUACGGGAGGCAGCAGUGGGGGAUAUUGCACAAUGGGGGAAACCCUGAUGCAGCGACGCCGCGUGUAGGAAGACGGUCCUCUGGAUUGUAAACCACUGUCCCCAGGGACGAAGAUGACGGUACCUGGGGAGGAAGCUCCGGCUAACUACGUG